Molecule: ribosomal RNA, 497 nt
Filed under: uncultured bacterium
Lineage: Bacteria
Description: partial 16S ribosomal RNA
Rfam family: Bacterial small subunit ribosomal RNA
Source: RNAcentral
GAUGAACGCUGGCGGCGUGCCUAAUACAUGCAAGUCGAGCGAACGGACGAGAAGCUUGCUUUUCUGAUGUUAGCGGCGGACGGGUGAGUAACACGUGGAUAACCUACCUAUAAGACUGGGAUAACUUCGGGAAACCGGAGCUAAUACCGGAUAAUAUUUUGAACCGCAUGGUUCAAAAGCGAAAGACGGUCUUGCUGUCACUUAUAGAUGGAUCCGCGCUGCAUUAGCUAGUUGGUAAGGUAACGGCUUACCAAGGCAACGAUGCAUAGCCGACCUGAGAGGGUGAUCGGCCACACUGGAACUGAGACACGGUCCAGACUCCUACGGGAGGCAGCAGUAGGGAAUCUUCCGCAAUGGGCGAAAGCCUGACGGAGCAACGCCGCGUGAGUGAUGAAGGUCUCCGGAUCGUAAAACUCUGUUAUUAGGGAAGAACAUAUGUGUAAGUAACUGUGCACAUCUUGACGGUACCUAAUCAGAAAGCCACGGCUAACUACGUG